GCUUUCCAUAAGACAAUUUAAAAAUUACAGCUUGAUGAAGUCCUUCCUCUUUAGUGAAAGAGUUGAUUUCAUCAACUGUAAAUUCUACAAUUGGCAAGCCUUGGUCGAUGGUGAUUGGACAAAGCUGGAGUUGAGACUUGCUUUCAGCAACGUGCUGUCCAGAAAGCUUCGAUGCAUAAGAUUGAUUGGAUCUAUGUCCAAUUUGAUUUUCUGUAACGGUAUUAACAGCCUCUCCGACAGCCGCAGGCUGGGGAGAGGAUAUCACGUCCAUCGAUCAAAAUGAAAUCAGCACCAUGAAGUGCUGCGAUCAAUACCAAAACAGAUUAAAAGAAACGAUAUGCGAGCUGCUUCAGAUCUUAUCCAAUUGUUUCAUAUCCAGAUAAAUGAAACAAUGUUAUAGCUCCUUCGACUAAAACUGAUUCAAUCUGUUGUGUGAACCAAACAGAUUGGAUGAUGAAAGAUCCGCAAACUUCACAUCUAAAAAGAAUAAUUCGCAAAAUUGCUUCGCAAAUCUUAGAUUUAAGAUCUACUGCGUUUGGCGUUAGAUAUUGUAAAAACAAUAGUAGGAAUGAGUUCACCUCAAGAUGUAGAUUGUCUAGACACCAAAAAAAUUAGUAUUCCACCACCGGAUUCCGAUAUGAAUAGUGACUGAAAAUCACUGUUCACUCAUGCUACAGUGAAAAGUCACUAUUCACGCGAGAGAGAAUCUGGUGUAUGUUGACGAAACCCAUGGUCAGAGGUAGUAUUAGUAUUCCGCCACCGGAUUCCGAUAUGAAUAGUGACUGAAAAUCACUGUUCACUCAUGCUACAACGCGAGAGAGAGUCUGGAAAAAUUAGGCUCAAUUGAAGGCCCAGUUUGUUGUAAUUUUGUGUAAUAAAAUAUACUCCUGGGCUGUUCUCGUUGAUAAAGCCCGAAUGGCAGAAAUCUGCCAUACAAAUGUUGAAAAUACACAUAGUGAUUGUUUCAUUUGGAU
This 974-nucleotide long non-coding RNA is filed under the name Nicotiana benthamiana. RNAcentral's name for it is "long non-coding RNA (NBEN_LNC011989)". Lineage: Eukaryota; Viridiplantae; Streptophyta; Magnoliopsida; Solanales; Solanaceae. The record is from RNAcentral.